UGGGGAAUAUUGCACAAUGGGCGCAAGCCUGAUGCAGCAACGCCGCGUGAGGGACGACGGCCUUCGGGUUGUAAACCUCUUUUAGCAGGGAAGAAGCGAAAGUGACGGUACCUGCAGAAAAAGCACCGGCUAACUACGUGCCAGCAGCCGCGGUAAUACGUAGGGUGCAAGCGUUGUCCGGAAUUAUUGGGCGUAAAGAGCUCGUAGGCGGUCUGUCGCGUCUGCUGUGAAAUCCCCGAGGCUCAACCUCGGGCCUGCAGUGGGUACGGGCAGACUAGAGUGCGGUAGGGGAGAAUGGAACUCCUGGUGUAGCGGUGGAAUGCGCAGAUAUCAGGAAGAACACCGAUGGCGAAGGCAGUUCUCUGGGCCGUAACUGACGCUGAGGAGCGAAAGCGUGGGGAGCGAACAGGAUUAGAUACCCUGGUAGUCCACGCCGUAAACGUUGGGCGCUAGAUGUGGGGACCAUUCCACGGUUUCCGUGUCGCAGCUAACGCAUU
RNAcentral lists this ribosomal RNA (497 nucleotides) under uncultured bacterium. RNAcentral's name for it is "partial 16S ribosomal RNA". It matches the Rfam family "Bacterial small subunit ribosomal RNA", at positions 355 to 861 of the family's 1533-position model. The record is from RNAcentral.